This 923-nucleotide ribosomal RNA is filed under the name uncultured bacterium. Its description in RNAcentral is "bacterial SSU rRNA". It matches the Rfam family "Bacterial small subunit ribosomal RNA", at positions 374 to 1330 of the family's 1533-position model. The record is from RNAcentral.
GGCGAGCCUGAUGGAGCACGCCGCGUGCAGGAUGAAGGCCUUCGGGUUGUAAACUGCUUUUAUAAGUGAGGAAUAUGACGGUAACUUAUGAAUAAGGAUCGGCUAACUACGUGCCAGCAGCCGCGGUCAUACGUAGGAUCCGAGCGUUAUCCGGAGUGACUGGGCGUAAAGAGUUGCGUAGGUGGUUUGUUAAGUAGAUAGUGAAAUCUGGCGGCUCAACCGUACAGGCUAUUAUCUAAACUGACAAACUCGAGAGUGGUAGAGGUUACUGGAAUUUCUAGUGUAGGAGUGAAAUCCGUAGAUAUUAGAAGGAACACCAAUGGCGUAGGCAGGUAACUGGACCAUUUCUGACACUAAGGCACGAAAGCGUGGGGAGCGAACCGGAUUAGAUACCCGGGUAGUCCACGCCGUAAACGAUGGAUACUAGCUGUUGGAGGUAUCGACCCCUUCAGUAGCGAAGCUAACGCGUUAAGUAUCCCGCCUGUGGAGUACGGUCGCAAGACUAAAACAUAAAGGAAUUGACGGGGACCCGCACAAGCGGUGGAUCGUGUUCUUUAAUUCGAUGCUAAACGAAGAACCUUACCAGGGCUUGACAUCCAGGGAAUUUUUGGGAAACCAAUUAGUGCCUUUUGGAACCCUGUGACAGGUGAUGCAUGGCCGUCGUCAGCUCGUGUCGUGAGAUGUUUGGUUAAGUCCAUCAACGAGCGCAACCCUUGUACUUAGUUGAAUUUUUCUAGGUAGACUGCCCCGGUAACGGGGAGGAAGGAGGGGAUGAUGUCAGGUCAGUAUUUCCCUUACGUCCUGGGCUAGAAACACGAUACAAUGGCAAGUACAAUGCGCAGCGAAGCCGCGAGGUGGAGCAAAUCGCAUCAAAGCUUGUCCCAGUUCGGAUUGGANGCUGAACUCNCCUCCAUGAAGUCGGA